AGCAGCAAUUCUGACUUUGUAAAUCAUGGCCUUCUUCUUUGGAUGCAAACAAGGCAGCAAUGGCUUGCAAAUAAGAGGUCUCCAAGCAGGAAACAAGUUCGAGAACCAGCAAUUAGUUGGAAUGCCACUUACGAUAGUUUGCUUGGGAUAAACAAGCCUUUCCCCCGACCUGUCCCUCUUGGUGAAAUGGUGGAUUUUCUUGUUGACGUUUGGGAACAAGAGGGUUUGUAUGACUAAAUAAGCUGGAAAUUUUACAAGUGCUUUCUCCUUCCUUGAAUAUCGCCUAAAGGUUGCACCUAGCAAGGCUUAGUUCCAUUAGCUAAUGGCAUACCUCAAACUUAGCAGGUGUUAGGUUCUAGUCUCCUAAUUCCUCUGUAUGAUUAUUAUAGCAGC
RNAcentral lists this unclassified non-coding RNA (393 nucleotides) under Hevea brasiliensis (rubber tree). Lineage: Eukaryota; Viridiplantae; Streptophyta; Magnoliopsida; Malpighiales; Euphorbiaceae. The record is from RNAcentral.